RNAcentral lists this non-coding RNA (46 nucleotides) under Trypanosoma brucei brucei. Lineage: Eukaryota; Euglenozoa; Kinetoplastea; Trypanosomatida; Trypanosomatidae. The record is from RNAcentral.
AAAUUAUUAAACAGAAAAGAGUCAUAUAGAAAAUAAGAUAGAAAUU